CUACGGGAGGCUCCAGUGGGGAAUAUUGGACAAUGGGGGAAACCCUGAUCCAGCAAUGCCGCGUGUGUGAAAAAGGCCUGCGGGUUGUAAAGCACUUUCGGUUGGGAGGACUGCUUCUAGCACUAAUAUUGUUGGAAGUUGACGUUACCUUCAGAAGAAGCACCGGCUAACUCCGUGCCAGCAGCCGCGGUAAUACGGAGGGUGCAAGCGUUAAUCGGAAUUACUGGGCGUAAAGCGCGCGUAGGCGGCUAGAUCAGUCGGGUGUGAAAGCCCCGGGCUUAACCUGGGAACUGCAUCCGAUACUGUCUAGCUUGAGUACAGGAGAGGAGAGUGGAAUUCCACAUGUAGCGGUGAAAUGCGUAGAUAUGUGGAGGAACACCAAUGGCGAAGGCAGCUCUCUGGCCUGAUACUGACGCUGAGGUGCGAAAGCGUGGGGAGCGAACAGGAUUAGAUAUCCCCGUAGUC
This 465-nucleotide ribosomal RNA is filed under the name uncultured bacterium. RNAcentral's name for it is "partial 16S ribosomal RNA". It matches the Rfam family "Bacterial small subunit ribosomal RNA", at positions 339 to 795 of the family's 1533-position model. The record is from RNAcentral.